UUUUGCUAAAUUGAAAUACAGCGACUCAUUCUUCUCCAACUCUUGGAGUGGUCAAUCCCAUCUCAAUCACAUUCUGACUUCACAAGUACUUGACUAUGCCCAGAAGUUUUUCAUCACUGAAUUAGAAAUUCAGUUAGUCCAGUACCAAAGCAUAGUGAGUUGCUUGCAAGUCACUGAGGUAAUCUCAGGUCUAAGGGAUACUUAUAUUUAUAUCCCA
This 217-nucleotide long non-coding RNA is filed under the name Elaeis guineensis (African oil palm). RNAcentral's name for it is "long non-coding RNA (EGUI_LNC062049)". The record is from RNAcentral. Lineage: Eukaryota; Viridiplantae; Streptophyta; Magnoliopsida; Arecales; Arecaceae.